RNAcentral lists this ribosomal RNA (251 nucleotides) under uncultured prokaryote. RNAcentral's name for it is "partial 16S rRNA". It matches the Rfam family "Bacterial small subunit ribosomal RNA", at positions 525 to 775 of the family's 1533-position model. The record is from RNAcentral.
AGGUAUGGGGCUAGCGGAGGAAGGAAAAAGGGGGAGAAAAGGGAGAGAAGGAGGGGAAUUAAGUUGGGUGUGAAAUCCCUGGGCUCAACCCAGGAACUGCAUCCAAAACUGGUUCUCUUGAGUUCGGGAGAGGAGAGCGGAAUUCCCGGUGUAGCGGUGAAAUGCGUAGAUAUCGGGAAGAACACCAGUGGCGAAGGCGGCUCUCUGGCCUAGAACUGACGCUGAAGCGCGAAAGCGUGGGGAGCGAACGG